GGAGGCGUGGCUGAGCGGCCGAAAGCGGCACCGUGCUAAGGUGUUAGGGGGGCAACCUCCUCAGAGGUUCGAAUCCUCUCGCCUCCGCAA
This 90-nucleotide transfer RNA is filed under the name Parcubacteria group bacterium RIFCSPHIGHO2_01_FULL_45_26. RNAcentral's name for it is "tRNA-Ser". It matches the Rfam family "tRNA". Rfam says of the family: Transfer RNA (tRNA) molecules are approximately 80 nucleotides in length. The record is from RNAcentral.